This 290-nucleotide signal recognition particle RNA is filed under the name Phascolarctos cinereus (koala). Its description in RNAcentral is "Metazoan signal recognition particle RNA (ENSPCIG00000029957.2)". It matches the Rfam family "Metazoan signal recognition particle RNA". Rfam says of the family: The signal recognition particle (SRP) is a universally conserved ribonucleoprotein. It is involved in the co-translational targeting of proteins to membranes. The record is from RNAcentral. Lineage: Eukaryota; Metazoa; Chordata; Mammalia; Diprotodontia; Phascolarctidae.
GACAUGGAGGCACACACAUGUAAACCUAGCUACCAGAGAGGCUGAGGCCAGCUGAUCUCCUGAGCUCAGGAGUUCUGAGCUGCAGUAGGAUAUGCUGAUCCAAUGUCCUCACUAAGUUUGUCAUCAGUAUGGUAAGCCAUUGGGAGCAGAGGACGACCAGAAGGCUUAAAGAGAGACAAACUAGCCCAGGUCAGAAAUGGAGCAGGUCAAAACUCUUUGGUUGAUCAACAGUGAGAUUGAGGUUAUAAGUAGCCUCUAAAUUUCCAGCCUGAGUGAAAAAAGGAAAUGGA